Molecule: long non-coding RNA, 413 nt
Filed under: Heterocephalus glaber (naked mole-rat)
Lineage: Eukaryota; Metazoa; Chordata; Mammalia; Rodentia; Bathyergidae
Description: lncRNA (ENSHGLG00000048552.1)
Source: RNAcentral
GUACCUAACAUCUAAAUUCUUUUCACAUCCCCUUUCCCUCCAGUACAUCCUCCUCUUUAUCGCUUGGUCCUCUUCCCAUUUGGAAGAGAUCUACCUGUUUCCUCUUACCUUUUAUUUUCCUCUCACCUUUUAUUUUCCUUUCAUUUGUACUAUGGGUUUCUCAUAAGAGAAACCAUAUGGUACUCAAGCUUGUGUGUCUUCAUUUAUUUUAUUGAACAUUAUGGUCUCAUGGUGCAUCCACUUUUCUACAGAUGACUUCUAUUUAUCCUUUCCAGCAGAAUAAUGCUCCAUUGUGUAUCAGCACAUUUCCAUUAUUGAUCUAUUGGUGGACUUCAAGGAUGUUUCCAUGAUUUAUCUAUUUUUGGUGCUGCUAUAACCGAGAUGAUCACCAGCUUUCUCAAUUUCCGGAUGCG